RNAcentral lists this ribosomal RNA (665 nucleotides) under uncultured bacterium. RNAcentral describes it as "bacterial SSU rRNA". It matches the Rfam family "Bacterial small subunit ribosomal RNA", at positions 143 to 807 of the family's 1533-position model. The record is from RNAcentral.
AUAACCGGCGGAAACGGCGACUAAUACCCCAUAUGCUGCGAUGCUGCAUGGCAUUGCAAUGAAAGAUUCAUCGGUGGCGGAUAGGCUCGCGGGACAUUAGCUAGACGGCGGGGCAACGGCCCACCGUGGCGACGAUGUCUAGGGGUUCUGAGAGGAAGACCCCCCACACUGGGACUGAGACACGGCCCAGACUCCUACGGGAGGCAGCAGUGAGGAAUAUUGGUCAAUGGGCGGAAGCCUGAACCAGCCAUGCCGCGUGAAGGACUAAGGCCCUACGGGUCGUAAACUUCUUUAGACGCAGAGCAAUAAGGUCCACGAGUGGACCGAUGAGAGUAUGCGUAGAAUAAGCAUCGGCUAACUCCGUGCCAGCAGCCGCGGUAAUACGGGGGAUGCGAGCGUUAUCCGGAUUCAUUGGGUUUAAAGGGUGCGUAGGCGGCCGAGUAAGUCAGCGGUGAAAGACCGGGGCUCAACCCUGGAAGUGCCGUUGAUACUGUUUGGCUGGAAUGAUCCCGCCGCGGGAGGAAUGAGUGGUGUAGCGGUGAAAUGCAUAGAUAUCACUCAGAACACCGAUUGCGAAGGCAUCUCGCGAGGGGUCAAUUGACGCUGAGGCACGAAAGCGUGGGGAUCGAACAGGAUUAGAUACCCUGGUAGUCCACGCGGUAAAC